RNAcentral lists this ribosomal RNA (252 nucleotides) under uncultured bacterium. Its description in RNAcentral is "partial 16S ribosomal RNA". It matches the Rfam family "Bacterial small subunit ribosomal RNA", at positions 524 to 776 of the family's 1533-position model. The record is from RNAcentral.
UACGUAGGUCCCGAGCGUUGUCCGGAUUUAUUGGGCGUAAAGCGAGCGCAGGUGGUUUAUUAAGUCUGUUGUAAAAGGCAGUGGCUCAACCAUUGUAUGCAUUGGAAACUGGUAGACUUGGGUGCAGGAGAGGAGAGUGGAAUUCCAUGUGUAGCGGUGAAAUGCGUAGAUAUAUGGAGGAACACCGGUGGCGAAAGCGGCUCUCUGGCCUGUAACUGACACUGAGGCUCGAAAGCGUGGGGAGCAAACAGG